UACAGAGGGGGCAAGCGUUGUUCGGAAUUACUGGGCGUAAAGGGCGCGUAGGCGGCCUUCUAAGUCGAACGUGAAAUCCCCGGGCUCAACCCGGGAACUGCGUCCGAUACUGGAAGGCUUGAAUCCGGGAGAGGGAUGCGGAAUUCCAGGUGUAGCGGUGAAAUGCGUAGAUAUCUGGAGGAAUACCGGUGGCGAAGGCGGCAUCCUGGACCGGCAUUGACGCUGAUGAGCGAAAGCUAGGGGAGCAAACGGG
Molecule: ribosomal RNA, 253 nt
Filed under: uncultured bacterium
Lineage: Bacteria
Description: partial 16S ribosomal RNA
Rfam family: Bacterial small subunit ribosomal RNA
Source: RNAcentral